This 258-nucleotide ribosomal RNA is filed under the name uncultured bacterium. RNAcentral's name for it is "partial 16S ribosomal RNA". It matches the Rfam family "Bacterial small subunit ribosomal RNA", at positions 793 to 1055 of the family's 1533-position model. The record is from RNAcentral.
GUCCACGCCCUAAACGAUGUUUACUUGCUGUUGGGGGUAACCUAAGUAGCGAAGCUAACGCGAGAAGUAAACCGCCUGGGGAGUACGGUCGCAAGAUUAAAACUCAAAGGAAUUGACGGGGACCCGCACAAGCGGUGGAUGAUGUGGAUUAAUUCGAUGCAACGCGAAGAACCUUACCUGCUCUUGACAUGUCAGGAAGACCUAAGAGAUUAGGUUGUGCCUUCGGGAACCUGAACACAGGUGCUGCAUGGCUGUCGU